This is a long non-coding RNA of Bombus impatiens (common eastern bumble bee), 237 nucleotides long. RefSeq lists it as uncharacterized. The transcript has 3 exons. The record is from RefSeq and is a predicted model, not a curated record. Lineage: Eukaryota; Metazoa; Arthropoda; Insecta; Hymenoptera; Apidae.
UGAGUAAGACGAUGGUUAUGUGAACUGACGACGGAAGCAUAUGACAAAAACGUACAAAAAGCUCGUAUAACGUUACGAUAAGUGUUCAAAUAGGGCUGGUGGUUGUAUUGAAAUAUAACUUAGUAUAUGUACUAAAAUUACCAAUAAAGAAAACUUUUCAAGAUGCAUUUGUAUCGUUGUUAUUUCAAAACGGAUAUUACUUUCUGAACGAUUCUCAAAACAGAUUAUUUCAAUACA